Molecule: ribosomal RNA, 468 nt
Filed under: uncultured bacterium
Lineage: Bacteria
Description: partial 16S ribosomal RNA
Rfam family: Bacterial small subunit ribosomal RNA
Source: RNAcentral
GACGAACGCUGGCGGCGUGCUUAACACAUGCAAGUCGAACGGAAAGGGCCUGCUUUUGUGGGGUGCUCGAGUGGCGAACGGGUGAGUAACACGUGAGUAACCUGCCCUUGACUUUGGGAUAACUUCAGGAAACUGGGGCUAAUACCGGAUAGGAGCGCCUGCUGCAUGGUGGGGGUUGGAAAGUUUCGGCGGUUGGGGAUGGACUCGCGGCUUAUCAGCUUGUUGGUGGGGUAGUGGCUUACCAAGGCUUUGACGGGUAGCCGGCCUGAGAGGGUGACCGGCCACAUUGGGCCUGAGGUACGGCCCGGACUCCUACGGGAGGCAGCAGUGGGGAAUAUUGCACAAUGGGCCGAAGCCUGAUGCAGCAACGCCGCGUGCGGGAUGACGGCCUUCGGGUUGUAAACCGCUUUCGCCUGUGACGAAGCGUGAGUGACGGUAAUGGGUAAAGAAGCACCGGCUAACUACGUG